AUGUGCCACUCGUACACUCCGGUUCUGAGCGCGCCGUCCGCACCCACCUGACGACCGCUCGCUACGUUUUGUUAGCC
RNAcentral lists this small RNA (77 nucleotides) under Xanthomonas populi. RNAcentral describes it as "sX9 sRNA". It matches the Rfam family "Xanthomonas sRNA sX9". Lineage: Bacteria; Pseudomonadati; Pseudomonadota; Gammaproteobacteria; Lysobacterales; Lysobacteraceae. The record is from RNAcentral.